This 249-nucleotide ribosomal RNA is filed under the name uncultured Anaerolineaceae bacterium. RNAcentral's name for it is "partial 16S ribosomal RNA". It matches the Rfam family "Bacterial small subunit ribosomal RNA", at positions 1130 to 1382 of the family's 1533-position model. The record is from RNAcentral. Lineage: Bacteria; Bacillati; Chloroflexota; Anaerolineae; Anaerolineales; Anaerolineaceae.
UAUGUGUCACACAGGACUGCUGGUAUUAAGCCGGAGGAAGUGGGACGACGUCAAGUCAGCAUGACCUUUAUAUCCAGGGCUACACACACGCUACAAUGGUCAGUACAAUGGGUUGCCAAGCCGCGAGGCGGAGCCAAUCCUAAAAAGCUGGCCUCAGUUCAGAUUGCAGUCUGAAACUCGACUGCAUGAAGUCGGAGUUGCUAGUAAACGCAGGUCAGCUAUACUGCGUUGAAUACGUUCCCGGGGCUU